AAAUAUGAUUGAGAUGCGUUUUUUCUUCUUCUAUGGGUUUGUGUUAUUAAAAUAUCCGAGACAAGUUGUUAGAAAUAUUAUCAUGAGGGGGUGGAUAAACUGUAGCUUAUGUCAUCAUCUAAUCAGCAUAGACGUAACCCGGAAGAAAUCAACACAUUCCCACUGUGCGUUGUUACUGUGAAAUGAAAUUAAUUGGGACUUCUCUAAAAUUUUAGACGUGUAACUGUCACUAUCAUCAAGCCGAUUUGACACAUUAUUCAGCGUGUAUCAUUUUAGGAUUCCAGUUGAAAGUGUAAGGUAGGAGAGAAAUGAAUAGACAUAUGGGGAUAAAUUAUUUCAUUUAUAGGCGAGAUGAUGAAUGAGUGAUCGGCAACACUAUGAAUGUCCCGCCUACUUCCUGGAUCAUGCCCACUGUUUUUGAAUGGCAUUCAAAAUUAUAUAAUCAUAUUCAUGGGAACGCGGUCAUUGAAGAUGUAUGUAAAAUGUUAUUCGUGGAUUAAUUUACUUCUAUCUGAUGCCUUUCAUGAACGUUUUCAUUGUUUUCUUUUUUGUAAUUGAAUACCUUCAUAACGAAUAGAAUUAUAAAUAUAUCUUAAAAUAUAUAUUUCACAGGGACCUGCUGCUGACUGUGAGGCAGGUUGUUACUGUGAGUGAGUGGUUGGGGGGACCGGAGGGGUGUGUGUGUGUGAGUUGAGAGAGCACUACAGCUAUUGGCUCGCGCGCACGUCGUGACAUACAUUGCAGAAUAACUUAUUCCAUUCCCUUUAAUGUUAGUUUUCCUCUAAUGUAGACGUUGUCUGGUGAGCUGCUGGAGUAGAUGAACUGUUGGCCUCCCGAGUGGCGCAGCGGUCUAAGGCGCAGCUUGCAAUAAUUAUUAUGAGGAAAACUGAAUUUAGCUUCCAACGUCGUUACAAGUUACUAUCUUUAAUUAUCUCGGUAACAUUAUGGAAAAGGGGUUUACAAUAUAAAUGGCAACUCCUCUUGCUGUGAAAAAAAGGAGCUUGUUUUCAGGCCUUUUGGGCACUUUUUGAGUUGUCAUUGGUCUGGAAAUUUUGCUUGACCUGGCAACCCUGCUCUUAGAGAGAAGGGGGAUAUCUGUCAGAAGUAAAACAUAGCAUUUUGUAUUUCAGAUCUGCUUCCCCAUUUCAUCAACACUGACAAUUUCCCUGUUUAAACAUCCUGGUUUCCAUUCAUCUGUGAUCAUUAUUCAUAACUUCAAUAUUGAACCAACAUGGCCAUGUUCUACUUCUGAGUAAGCAAUGGUUCUUUAUAUUAUAUAGCUUUUGCCUAUCCAUAUUGUAUACAAUUUGUUCAUGUCUGCACACCACCAACAUGUUACACCUGAAGAGGUCGCCUGGCAUCCGCUCCUGGUCGCUGCUCAUAGGUAUUGCAUCCAUUGGCCUGGCUGCUGCAUACUACAGCUCCGACAGUAUCCUGUGGAAGCUUUUCUACGUGACGGGCUGUCUGUUCGUGGCCAUGCAGAACAUGGAGGAGUGGGAGGAGGCAGUGUUUGAUAAAACCAAGAAAGUGAUAGAGCUGAAGACCUUCAGUCUGUAUGCCAUGAUUCUCACCAUGUGUAGGAGAGGCCAGGAGAAAGUGAUGAUGGACAUGAGGCACCUGCGUGACAUGUGUUCAGGAAGAGAAGGUGCGUUACCUAGGGAAGGGCUACCUGCUGGUGCUGCGACUGGCCACAGGUUUCUCCUACCCCCUCACACAGAGCCCCACCAUGGGGGGACGCAGUGAUGUGGAGGCAGUGGCUUCGUUGCUCAAGCGUUUCCUGGGUCUGGAGGAGCUCCAGUGUCGCUGGGAGCAGGAGGAAGAGGCAGUCAGGGAGGAAGAUGAACUGAACCCCAGCACUGACUCCGGAGAAGAGGGGGACUAAGUGCAGUAGAAGGAGAAGAGAUGAGGGGAAGCCACAGCAGACUUGAAAUGCACCCAAAUAUAUUUUACAGCAUUUUGUAGUAUCUCUGAUACUAUAAAUUGCCUUAAAUACGCUUCAAUGGUAGAGUUUUCCACAGAAUAUUUAAACAAAUUCAUAGUUUGUGUUGCCUGUUCUUCAAAAACAAUCAUUACUGUAUUCGACUCAACCCUAUAAUUACAGUGCCUUUCUAUUUAAAUGUAAUCAGUAUGUGUGAAAUACUCAUUCAAAACAUUCCCACAGUUUAGGGAACACAGUGUGUUUGAGACCUCCCAAGUGAUAAUCUUGGUCUAGUAGGAUUGUCUCUACUCACUGCAACCAUCCAUCCAUCUGAAUGCAUGUGACUGUAAACUAUAAUCAAGCAUGGAUUUCCAGGGAUCAGUUAAGAAUGUUUGCCUGUUUUUAUGUUAAAGUAAAUACUUGCAUGUCUUUCAGCAUUGAUGGGUCCUAUCACUAGGGUCAGACAGAAUCUGGGGAGGCAAAACCUCUAGAAUGAACUUGAUCUAACAGCUUCUACAUCUGCAUUGCCUGCUGUUUGGGGUUUUGGGCUGGGUUUCUGUAUAAAACUUUGUGACAUCUGCUGAUGUAAAAAAAGGGUGUAAUAAAUACAUUUGAUUGAUUUAUUAUUCAUAGGGUAAACUACAGAUUUCGUCUGGCCUUAUAUACACAAAACGAAAGACCAGUCUCAGGUAACAUUCCUGUCCAUAGACAAAUGUGUUAAUAACAAUAUGUAUGUUUGACAAAUAAACUGUAUUACAUUGUAUCUGGACUGUAUUAACUAAGUUACUGCAUCUGUUGGCAAGAGGAAGGUGAGUGUAGAUGCCUUCUGUUGCUUGAAAGAAAGAAUGCAUGAGAUAUUUUGUGUCCAGUUAGUGUGUGUUGCUGGAUGACUUCAGGUACUGGGUUGCCUAGUCUUUUUUUUUUUUUACUUAAAAAAAACAAACUUUUAUACAUUUAUUUUUGCUUUUUUUGUUAACAAACAGAAUUAAAUAAAAGUUGCUUUUUGAAAA
Oncorhynchus mykiss (rainbow trout) is the source of this 2928-nucleotide RNA transcript. It is a transcript of the gene named cytochrome b-245 chaperone 1 homolog, with no coding region annotated. The record is from RefSeq and is a predicted model, not a curated record. NCBI's taxonomy places the organism in Eukaryota, Metazoa, Chordata, Actinopteri, Salmoniformes, Salmonidae.